This 409-nucleotide long non-coding RNA is filed under the name Callithrix jacchus (white-tufted-ear marmoset). RNAcentral describes it as "lncRNA (ENSCJAG00000086357.1)". Lineage: Eukaryota; Metazoa; Chordata; Mammalia; Primates; Cebidae. The record is from RNAcentral.
UCCCUGUUGUAUUUCCUAGAAUUUCAGCUCAUUUUGUUUUCUACUUAGCAUAGUGGGUUAAAUAGGCUUUUGUGGGCUAGUCUGGGAACAUUGUUUCCAGUGAAAAAUGCAUUCUGUGUUGGAAACAAACAACAUACACAAAGAAACUUUCUGAACACAACCUCUUUGUAGAGUGGGGCCUGCCUGUCCUGCCUCCUGUCUCAGAAUUCAAGCCUGCAAAAGUUCUCUUUUCAAAUCUGGGCAGCCUUAAAAACAACAAAUGCAAUCUGGGAUGGAAAGUCUACCCUCUGAAGAGUCUUGCUGCUCUGCAUGAAGUGUGAGGUAUGGCCGAAGACCCAGUGGGCCUUGAUUUGAGCCUCAUUUGGCCAUGUGGGAUCCUGGGUGAGUCCUUAAAUGUCUCUGGUCUUGG